CGACGUCGCAUGCUCCCGGCCGCCAUGGCGGCCGCGGGAAUUCGAUUAGAGUUUGAUCAUGGCUCAGAUUGAACGCUGGCGGCAGGCCUAACACAUGCAAGUCGAGCGGAUGACAGAGCUUGCUCCUGAAUUCAGCGGCGGACGGGUGAGUAAUGCCUAGGAAUCUGCCUGGUAGUGGGGGACAACGUUUCGAAAGGAACGCUAAUACCGCAUACGUCCUACGGGAGAAAGCAGGGGACCUUCGGGCCUUGCGCUAUCAGAUGAGCCUAGGUCGGAUUAGCUAGUUGGUGAGGUAAUGGCUCACCAAGGCGACGAUCCGUAACUGGUCUGAGAGGAUGAUCAGUCACACUGGAACUGAGACACGGUCCAGACUCCUACGGGAGGCAGCAGUGGGGAAUAUUGGACAAUGGGCGAAAGCCUGAUCCAGCCAUGCCGCGUGUGUGAAGAAGGUCUUCGGAUUGUAAAGCACUUUAAGUUGGGAGGAAGGGCGUUAACCUAAUACGUUAGUGUUUUGACGUUACCGACAGAAUAAGCACCGGCUAACUCUGUGCCAGCAGCCGCGGUAAUACGAAUCACUAGUGAAUUCGCGGCCGCCUGCAGGUCGACCAUAUGGGUUAGCUCCCAACGC
RNAcentral lists this ribosomal RNA (628 nucleotides) under uncultured Gammaproteobacteria bacterium. RNAcentral describes it as "partial 16S ribosomal RNA". It matches the Rfam family "Bacterial small subunit ribosomal RNA", at positions 1 to 602 of the family's 1533-position model. The record is from RNAcentral. Lineage: Bacteria; Pseudomonadati; Pseudomonadota; Gammaproteobacteria.